GGCUCGGCCCACACGGUGCUGGGCCCGUACUGGGCCAAGGAGUUGGGCAUCAACAAACUUCACUGCCGCCAAUGUUCUCCCCGCGGGGGCGAUCUGCAGGUCACGGUGCGCACCGACGGUCGAGUUGACAUCACGGGAGCGGCCGUCACGGUUGUCACGGGCACCUUCACCGUGCCCGUCACGGGUGCUCACUGACCGUCACGGUUGUCACGGGUACCUUCACCGUGCCCGUCACGGGUGCUCACUGACCGUCACGGUUGUCACGGGCACCUUCACCGUGCCCGUCACGGGUGCUCACUGACCGUCACGGUCGUCACGGGCACCUUCACCGUGCCUGUCACGGGUGCCCACUGACCGUCACGGUUGUCACGGGCAACUUCACCGUGCCCCUCACGGGUGCCCACUGACCGUCACGGUCGUCACGGUCACCUUCACCGUGCUUGUCACGGGUGCCCACUGACCGUCACGGUUGUCACGUGCCUCUCACUGACUAAUUAAAAGUUGUCGUAAAUCAAUCUGAAGGGAGUGUCUCAACGAAGAAUUUAACGACAUCCAAAUGCGAAAGAAUUUCCAUUAUCGUCAUUCAACUUAGUAAAAUGAAGUGUCAUCUUAUGUUAUUUUCCUUGAAGUUGGCAGUGAUAACAGGCGACUUGCUGCCAAAAUUUGCAUCCAAUAAAGUUCUUUCAAUUA
This is a long non-coding RNA of Hyalella azteca, 690 nucleotides long. RefSeq lists it as uncharacterized. NCBI's taxonomy places the organism in Eukaryota, Metazoa, Arthropoda, Malacostraca, Amphipoda, Hyalellidae. The transcript is spliced from 2 exons. The record is from RefSeq and is a predicted model, not a curated record.